AAAUGUUGGUUUAUAUCCCUUUCAUAGUAAUUAACCCCCUGAUGUGCCUUAUCAUCCUUUUCACUAUUUUUACAGGGUUUAAUUACAAUAAUCAAUUCACAGUGACUCCUAAUCUGAAUAGCGUUAGAAAUAAAUAUGCUGGUUAUCAUCCCUAUUCUAAUAUAAAAGGUUAACCCCUGCUCCACAGGAACAGCCACCAAAUAUUUCCUCACACAAGCAACCACACCCAUAAUUCUAAUAAUAGCCAUUAUUAUCAAUAUAAUGUAUUCCAGACAAUAAAAAAUCACAAAUAUACUGAACCAAACAGCAUUCCUAGUAAUUAUUGUGGCUCUAGUUAUAAAACUGGGACUGUCCUCCUUUUACUUUUGAGUUUCAGAAGUAACACAAGGAGGUAUAAUUCUUCUUACAUGACAAAAAGUGGCCCCAAUUUCCAUCAUGUUCCAAAUCUCAAUGGACCUAAAUAUACCAUUAACAAUUGCAGUACUAUCCAUUUUAGUAAGGGUUUGAAGGGGGCUUCAUCAAACACAAUUCCAAAAUAUUUAGCCUAUUCAUCAAUUGCACCAAACAGUGGCUGUCUCACUGAAGUCUCAAUGAGGUCCUAGCAUGGGGC
This 610-nucleotide long non-coding RNA is filed under the name Homo sapiens (human). Its description in RNAcentral is "non-protein coding lnc-ZC3H12B-14:1". Lineage: Eukaryota; Metazoa; Chordata; Mammalia; Primates; Hominidae. The record is from RNAcentral.